AGCUUCAUAAACACAGAUCUGACUGGAUCAUUUACAUUCUACAACAUGAAUGGUUUUCUCUCACUUUCAGGAGAACAUUCUCUUUGAAGUAAAUAUCAGGUAAACUGAAUAUUUGUUCACUAAAAUUGGAUAGCAUCAGAGGGAUAUGGCCAAAAUCACUAGAAAAGCAUGCUAGCAUAAUCACAUAUUUAUUCUUGAUGGGAAUGAGCAAAAUGUCAACUGUGUGACAGAAAUAGAUACUGGAACAAAUACAUCAAAGAAAAUGACAUGAUCCCAAUCUUCAAGAAUCAUAAGUCUAAAUAGAGUUAACACACAAAUACAAUGUGAACUGUUACAAUGCAGACAAAUGAAGUGCACCGGAAAGGUACAAAACCACCCGCAACUGGGAGAAUAAGGGAAGGUGGCCUUCGGAAUAUUCCUAAUGAAUUUUGAAGAGAAAAAGGGGCAUCAAGGAGUAGGACAAACUACAAAGAUCAUCAUGGCUUGGACCCAAAGAAGGAGACUAAGUGGUGAGAAUACAGAUUAGAAAAGUGAGAACUCGUUUAAGGUCAUGUGACAUUUAGGGCACUAAACUUGAUUUGGAGACAUGAAGAGGGUAAAUGAAGGAAUCUAAGCAUUGGAGUAGCAUAUCAUAUUGUGUUUUUAAAAAAUUCAUGGCCAAAAAUUAGAAAAUGGAUUUUUAAAGCAAGACUGAAGCAAAAGCAGUCAGAAAAUUGUUGAACGGAGACAUGCAACAAAUCCUAUGGAUUGACUUAAGGUUAAAACGAUGGAGAUGGAGAAAGGGAUAUUUAAAUACAAGGCAAACUCAGGAAUUCUUGGUAUCUAAAUGGAUACAGGAAGUAACAGAAAAAAAUCAUCCCCAGAUUUUCAGCCAAGAAACAAAGAGCAGAUGGUGGUGCCAUCAGCAAAUGAAGAAUGCUCUCCAAGGAACUAAGAGCAGUCUGCUGGCCAAAAUCUGCUUCUGUUACGACAGUCCUUUCAUCCACUGCAAAAUUAUAGCAGUCCACACAGGAACUCCGCUUCCACCUCUGAAACAGAUGGGGACUGCUACCAAAGAUUUUCUUAAAUACUAUCCUGGGUCUUUAUAGGGUAUUGCAGAUUAAAUUAUCACAUGUUCUUGGCACUGAGGACACACAGGUGAGAAAUAUGUUUUCUGACAGAAUU
Molecule: non-coding RNA, 1164 nt
Organism: Oryctolagus cuniculus (rabbit)
Lineage: Eukaryota; Metazoa; Chordata; Mammalia; Lagomorpha; Leporidae
Source: RefSeq, a predicted model, not a curated record